AUGUAGCCGAAGAGUCCACAACUGGACGAAACAUGCGUCCUACAU
RNAcentral lists this non-coding RNA (45 nucleotides) under Trichobilharzia regenti. Lineage: Eukaryota; Metazoa; Platyhelminthes; Trematoda; Strigeidida; Schistosomatidae. The record is from RNAcentral.